This 805-nucleotide ribosomal RNA is filed under the name Teratosphaeria toledana. Its description in RNAcentral is "eukaryotic LSU rRNA". It matches the Rfam family "Eukaryotic large subunit ribosomal RNA", at positions 82 to 919 of the family's 3401-position model. Lineage: Eukaryota; Fungi; Ascomycota; Dothideomycetes; Mycosphaerellales; Teratosphaeriaceae. The record is from RNAcentral.
AGUAACGGCGAGUGAAGCGGCAACAGCUCAAAUUUGAAAUCUGGCGCACGCCCGAGUUGUAAUUUGGAGAGGAUGCUUCAGGGCAGCGGCCGGUCUAAGUUCCUUGGAACGGGACGUCAUAGAGGGUGAGAAUCCCGUAUGCGACCGGUUGGCACCCGUCACGUAGCUCCUUCGACGAGUCGAGUUGUUUGGGAAUGCAGCUCUAAAUGGGAGGUAAAUUUCUUCUAAAGCUAAAUACCGGCCAGAGACCGAUAGCGCACAAGUAGAGUGAUCGAAAGAUGAAAAGCACUUUGGAAAGAGAGUUAAAAAGCACGUGAAAUUGUUGAAAGGGAAGCGCAUGCCACCAGACUUGUCGGCGGUGUUCCGCCGGUCUUCUGACCGGUCUACUCGCCGCCGGCAGGCCAGCAUCAUCUGGGCGCGCCGGACAAAGGCACGGGGAAUGUGGCUCCUCGGAGUGUUAUAGCCCCGCGCACAAUACGGCGCCGCCCGGGUGAGGUCCGCGCUUCGGCUAGGAUGCUGGCGUAAUGGUGGUCUGCGGCCCGUCUUGAAACACGGACCAAGGAGUCUAACAUCUAUGCGAGUGUUCGGGUGUCAAACCCCUACGCGGAAUGAAAGUGAACGGAGGUGGGAAGCGUAAGCUGCACCAUCGACCGAUCCUGAUGUCUUCGGAUGGAUUUGAGUAAGAGCAUAGCUGUUGGGACCCGAAAGAUGGUGAACUAUGCCUGAAUAGGGUGAAGCCAGAGGAAACUCUGGUGGAGGCUCGCAGCGGUUCUGACGUGCAAAUCGAUCGUCAAAUUUGGGUAUA